UUGCUCAGUGGAGGCGACCGCGGUCACCAGGAAGGGGACCGGACAGCCGGCGAUGGUGGUCACCACAGCGGCAUGUGCGCCUUUCAGGUAUCUGCCUGAACUGGAACUCAUGCUGUAGACAUUUCUUUGUGGAUUCAUCUAAAAAUCUGAGGAAAAGAGUAUUUG
Lontra canadensis (Northern American river otter) is the source of this 165-nucleotide long non-coding RNA. RefSeq lists it as uncharacterized. The transcript is spliced from 3 exons. NCBI's taxonomy places the organism in Eukaryota, Metazoa, Chordata, Mammalia, Carnivora, Mustelidae. The record is from RefSeq and is a predicted model, not a curated record.